RNAcentral lists this long non-coding RNA (3646 nucleotides) under Homo sapiens (human). Its description in RNAcentral is "non-protein coding LINC00887:16". Lineage: Eukaryota; Metazoa; Chordata; Mammalia; Primates; Hominidae. The record is from RNAcentral.
AGUCGCGCCUGCCACAUCUACCUCCCCAGCCAUCCUACUCUCUAUGCUGCUGCAAACUAGACAUUCCUUCCUGGAGGGACCUCUCGCUUCCCAUCUUCAGAUCAGGACGCACGGUCUCUUCUCCGCAGCUGCUUCCUCUGGUGUUCCUGUGCUCCUGUCGGCCCGCUGCUCCCACACACAUGCCCAUUCUUCUCGGGCUGGCUUGUAUCUCAGGGUUACGCUCCCCAGGUCCCUUGCUCCAGGAGGAUGGCACCGGGUCAGAGUGUUCAGACUUGUUGACGUCCCUCCCCCCACUCAAUUCGUCACUGAGCCAGAAGACUGAGCCUUGGGAAUGUCUCUGAGCCCACCCCACCUCUCCUCUCUGGCAGCAGCCUUGGUUUCUCCAUCUGGACUCUAAAUGCUGUGCCCACAACAGGCUAUUAUGGGUCUCUGUGUGUCCCAGACUGCCCGCAUGAAUAAUGGCUGAUAUGGCUUGGAUUUUUGUCCUCUCCAAAUCUCAUGUUGCAAUGUGAUUCCCAGUGUUGGAAGUGGGGCCUGCUGGGAGGUGAGUGGAUCAUGGGGGAAGAUCCCUUAAGAGUAGGUUAGCACCAUCCUCUUGGUGAUAUGAGUUCUUGCUCAGUUAGUUCAUGUGAGAUCUCGUUGUUUAAGCAUCUGGGACCUCCCCUUUCUCUCUCUCUUGCUCCCACUCUCACCAUGUGAUGUGCCUGCUCCCCUUUCUUCUUCCACCAUGAGUGGAAGCUUCCUGAGGUCUUUAGCAGAACCAGAUGCUGGCACCAUGCUUCUUUUACAGCCUGCAGAAUUGUGACCCAAUUAAACCUCUUUUCUUUAUAAAUUUCCCAGUCUCAGGCAUUUUUAAUAGCAAUGCACAAACGGACUAACACAGAAAAUUGGUAUAGUGAAUAGAGUAUCGCCAUAAAAAUACCUAAAGAUGUGGAACUGAGUAACGGGCAGAGGGUGGAAGAGACUGGAGAGCUCAGAAGAAGACAGGAAGAUGAGGGAACGUCUGGAACAUCUAUGGUUGUGACAAAAAUGCUGAUAGAGAUAUGGACAGUGAAGUCCAAGCUGACAAAGUCUCAGAUGGAAAUGAGAAAGUUAUUGGGAGCUGAAGCAAAGAUCACCUGUGUUAUUCCCUAGCAAAGAGCCUGGAUGGAUUGUGUUCAUGUCCUAGGGGUUUGUGGAAGGUUGAACUUAUUUGGUGGCAGCUGGCAGAAGAAAUUUCUAAGUAUCAAGAAGUGACGUGGCUGCUUCUAACAGCCUACGAUCAGAUAUGGGUGUAAAGAAAUGACUUAAAGUUGGAACUUAUACAUGAAAGGAAGCAGGGCAUAAAAGUUCGUAGCCUAGCCAUGCAGCAGGGAAAGAAGAAGCAUUUUCAGGAGCGGAAUCCAAGCAGCCAGUGUAGCAAUCAUUUGCUAGAGACAUUAGCAUGACUAAAAGGGAGCCAAAUGCUAAUAUCCAAUACAAUGGGGAAAAGUUCUCAAAGGCAUUUCAGAGGUCUUGGAGAUAGCUCUUCCCAUCUCAUGCUCAGGGGCCUAGGAGGAAAGAAUGGGUUCAGGGGCCAGGUAUGGGGCACUGUUGUCCAGUUCAGCCUCAGGACACUGCUUGCCACAUCUCUGCUGGCUCAAAAGACCCCAGGCCCAGGUACAGCUCCAGUUGCUGCUUUGGAGAACGCAAGCUGCCAUAAGCCUUGGCAGUUUCCACUUGGUGUUAAGCCUGCAGGCACACAGAAUGUAAGUGUGAAGGAGGCUUGGCAACUUCCACCUAAAUUUCAGAGGAUGAAUCAGCAAGCCUAAGGUGGCUGCCCAGGCAGAAGCCUGCUGCAGGGGUGGAGCCCCCACCAGAGAAACUCUACUAGGGCAGUGUGGAGGGGAAAUGGGGGUUGGAUCCCCCACACAGACCCCCCACCAGGACACUGCCUAGUGGAGCUGUGGGAAGGUGGCUGAUGUCCUCCAGACCCCAGAAUGAUAGAGCCACUGACAGCUUGCAUACUGAGCAUGGAAAAGCCACAGGCACUCAACUCCAACCCAUGAGAGCAGCCACAGGGCUAGACCCAGAAAAGCCACAGGGGCAGUGCUGCUCAAGGCCUUGGGGGCCCAUCCCUUGAACCAGUGCACCCAGGAUGCAGGACAUGGGAUCAAGGAUCAUUUUGGAGCUUUAAGGUUUAAUGACUGCCCCAAUGGGUUUCAGACUUGGGUGGGUCUGGUAGCCCCUUCCUUUGGGUCAAUUUCUCCCUUUUAGAAUGGGAAUAUCUACCCAAUGCCUGUGCCACCAUUGUAUCUUGGAAGUAAAUAACUUGUUUUGAUUUUACAGGCAUAUAGGUGGAAGGAACAUGCCUUGGGUCUCAGAUGAGACUUGGACUUUUGGAUUAAUUCUGGAACAAGUUAAGACUUAGGGGGACUAUUGCAAAGGCAUGAUUGUAUUUUGAAAUGUGAAAAAGACAUGAUAUUUGGGUCCUGGGCGGGGAAUAACGUGGUUUGGAUAUUUGUCCCCUUCGAUUAUCAUGUUGAAAGGUGAUUCCCAUUUUGGGGGUGGGGCCUGGUAGGAGGUGAGUGGAUCAUGGGGGAAGGCCCCUCGUGAAUGGUUAAGCACACCCCUUGGUGAUAAGUGAGUUCUUGGUCAGUUAGUUCAUGUGAGAUCUGGUUGUUUAAAAGAGUCUGGGACCUCCCCCAACCCCUUGCUCCUACUCUUGCCAUGUGAUGUGCCUGCUCCCCUUUUGCCUUCCACCUUUCACCAUGAGUGGAAGCUUCCCAAGGUUCUUACCAGGACCAGAUGCUGACGCCAUGCUUCUUGAACAGUCUGCAGAAUUGUGAGCCAAUUAAACCUUGUUUCCUUAUAAAUUACCAGCCUCAGGCAUUUCCUUAUAGCAAUGCACAAAUAUACUAACACAAUGGCCAUAGACAGCGCUUACCAUUAGCUCAUUUAACUUGUCUACGAGGGCAGCACAACUUGGGGUCCACAUACUCAUGCCCAACUUCAUUGGCCAUUCAACUCCAGCCAAGUAACAGGACGAAAAGACAGAAACCCACCAUAAGCUGCGGCUGAAGGUGGCCAUCCAGCCCACUGUUGGGACAGAAUGCUUAGUGUGUACAGAUUUGCUUCGGUGUCCCUAAGAUAGGCUUCUGACCUGUCUAUUUUCCCUGAGAAUUCAGAAUAAUCAUGAACAAGAUGGGAGUAUGAAUCUCAGCAUGGAGGCCCAGUGGCUGACACCUAGCUUUCAAACCUAAACAUCUUGCACAGGUUUCCUUGUACCAUGUUCUCUGAUGCGAUGUCCUGUGUCUCUGCUCACUGCUUCAGUGCCCUCCCAAGCAGCCGGGAUGGAGCCCGGGCCGCCACAGCCCCCCUGGAGUGCGUGCCGCCUGAUAGGUGGAUCAAGAGCAGAACUCACAUGCUGCCUCCUGGGGAGGAAGGGGGUUGUUUAUGACCAUAUGAGCUUUGAGGUACCCAGGAUGACAGGCCACCCUAGAACCCAGGGAGCUUGGGCAAGUUCAUCCCCUUCUCUGGGCCUCAGUUUCCCUCAUCUGUCCUGCAAAAGAAUUGGAUCAGAUAAUCUGGGACAUUCUAUCCAGCUCUCUGAUCCAGAGAUCAGGUUUGGGGCCGGGUGGGGGAUGUGAAGUGGUCUUCCAAGCUGUCAACAUAGCCUGAUUGUGUA